UUAUUUCUAAACUUGCUCAGUGGUAGAGCAUCUGCUUUGCAUAUAGAAGGUUCCAGGUUCACUCCCUGGUGUCUCCAAGUAAG
Molecule: non-coding RNA, 83 nt
Organism: Podarcis lilfordi (Lilford's wall lizard)
Lineage: Eukaryota; Metazoa; Chordata; Lepidosauria; Squamata; Lacertidae
Source: the annotation of a GenBank genome assembly